AAUCAAAAGCGCCAAUAUAGUAAAUAUAAACCAUCCACGAGGGAGCUAAAGAAGCGGAUUCCUCCACAUAGUAAUUUCAAUUCUGAGAGACUGUUCCAGUUGAUGAAGGCACAGGAUAAAGAAAGUGGAAGGAUAAAAAUUACUCCAAAUCAAACAAGAAAGCUAUCGAAGGCUCAAAUCAAGUCGACUGAAGUGCCAUCUGCUCCUCCAUUUCCCCCAGAAGCUGAGGACCUAAAUCUACAUACAGUAACUAUGGAUCUCCUGAUUCCCAGUUUACCUGACCCAGAACUUAUUUCCAACUCCUCUUCUGCCAUAAGCCUGGAGGCAGAUGAAACCCACGCCAAUGGCAAACUAAAUCAGCAAACAAAUACUGUGUCAACUCUACCCUCACUUCCCCCUGUACAGGAGGAUCCAAACCCAGUGGCUGCAAUUGUGGAUUUAUUGUCUCUCAAAUCACCCAACCGGGCACUUUUACCUAGCACCUCAUCUCCGGCCAUCAAUAUACAAUCAGAUAAGACUGCUGAAAGUAAAUCUGCUCAGUCACCAAAAAUAUCAGUGGUGCUUUCAAAGAAUCAGCUAGUGUUCCUUAACCUUCCUAAGCCUAAUGGACAACUAACUCAGCUAGGAAAGAAAUGGCAUCUCUUACAAAUUUUUGAAAAGAUAGGAGUGUCCCACCUGUCAAUCGAAGGCAUAGAGAAUGUUGAAUAUCUUUGCUUUGUCAACCCCACCUUUGGGAUAAAAGCUACUUUCACAGGCCCGUCUUCUGUGUAUGGUAUACUUAGACAAAAGCAGGCUUUUGCUAGUCUAGGGUUUCAGGUGAGGAGACACUUUGUUAAUACCAUAAUCCAACCAUUGAUCAAGGAUCGGUCUAUUAGGGAUGGACAAUCUAUACAACAGGAUAAAUCUUUAUCAACUUAUAACUUGAUAUGUUUAGACCUUAGUGAUGCAAAUUCAAGAUGUGAGAAUUUAAAUUCUACUGGACAUAGAAGCAAGAAGCUCGCUUAUAAUAACCAAUUAAACAGAGACACAAGCGACAUCCUCCGAAGCUGUCUGGAAGGAAUUGACUACUUUUCAGAGGGUACUCCGAUAGUGCCCACGAUGAUCUCCGAAGAGGAGAAAGUUCUAAUUGACAGAUACUUCACUUUGCCUAUAACAGAACAACAGCAUAUCAUAAACAGGCUCCAAACGCUUAUCCAUAAUUUAGUUAGUAACUCAGUUAGUUUAAAUCCCCUGCAGGAGCAAGCAAAUAAACUCCAAACAAAAUCUGCAGACUUCCAUCCAACAGCAACACAAGCCUCUUGUAUACAAAUUCUACCAGAGGCUGACCGGUCACAUAGACUGCUAUGAACAGACCCAACCUGCCAAGCACCAUCACCUCUAGCCAGACC
RNAcentral lists this long non-coding RNA (1388 nucleotides) under Pogona vitticeps (central bearded dragon). Its description in RNAcentral is "lncRNA (ENSPVIG00000004934.1)". The record is from RNAcentral. Lineage: Eukaryota; Metazoa; Chordata; Lepidosauria; Squamata; Agamidae.